Molecule: long non-coding RNA, 1347 nt
Organism: Homo sapiens (human)
Lineage: Eukaryota; Metazoa; Chordata; Mammalia; Primates; Hominidae
Gene: LUCAT1
Product: lung cancer associated transcript 1
Source: Ensembl
ACAAUCAACACUCCACUCAGACAAUGCCCAGACCUCCAGAAACCAUGUGUCAAGCUCGGAUUGCCUUAGACAGGUGCAAUUUAAGAACAGCUUUCAUCCUCUUUUCUCUCAUAUUGUCACACUAUGUGUUCUGACUUCUGGCUCCUUUCCUCACAAGAAGCUCACCCAGCUGGAACUCUUAUGGGACCUUGGCACCAGAGACCACAAAUUCCUCUUUGAAGUUUUCUAACAGCAACAAUGGUAUUUCUGACUUGGCUUUCUUGUAUUUCUCUCACGUUAACAAAAUUGGUUCAGCAUCUACCAUGGGCUACAUGCUGAGCUACAGAGUUUCGCUCUGUCGCCCAGGCUGGAGUGCAGUGGCGCGCGAUCUCGGUUCACUGCAAGCUCCACCUCCCGGGUUCACGCCAUUCUCCUGCCUCAGCCUCCUGAGUAGCUGGGACUACAGGCGCCCGCCACCACACCCAGGAAUCCAACUUGCUGUUUGCUAUCACAUGUGCUAUACAUGCUGUUGAUGAAACUGCUAAAGGGGCUGAAUGUGACUGACGUCUUUGGAAGGAUGAGACUUAGCGUGCCUGUACAGUUGUGUCCAAAUGCUGUCCUCAUCUCCCAAUGAAAAGGGUUUUUCCUUAAGCCUCACAACAAUUUACAGCAUUGCCAGCAGCAUUCAGUACAUUCAGAACAGGAUAAUUUCACCCGCAGCUGAACUAGGGCCAUGCCUGGGACAGACAGAGAAUGGCCUUCCAGCAGACAUGCCAAGAAGCAAGCCAGGGUCAGUGAGUGAAGAGGAGGGCAGGCCCAUUUGAAGCAACACAGUUUAUGAACAAAACCCAUCAGAAGAUGUCAGAAGAUAAGGAUUUUUGUCCUGAUGCUACACUUACCAGCUGUCCCUCAGUGUUCUACUUCUUAAAAAAAGAGAGAUGGAUAAACAGAGGCAACCCGAGGAUAAAGGCCUUGCUCAGUGUCACACAUUUCAGUCACUAAAUAAGACACAAUGGAUGCCAGUAUUCUCAUCCCCUCACAAAUAAAGAGCCUUCAAGCUCUUGCAGUCAACAAGAACUUUUGGAAUGAUUUCACUGCCUGAAAAGGCAGAUACAUAGGUGACACCCACAAAUAGGAAGAAAAUCAACCUGAACCUGAGUGUGUGGGCUCACUGACUCUAAGCAGUAGAGACAGAAGAAAAAGUUUUAGCAAAGAAGGGUUCUGAAAGAAAAUAAAUAUAGCUCGUUAUCAAGUGCUGUUUUUACACAGUAAAACAUGGGCAAAAUUACUCUUCUUUAAGUAGUAAUUCUUAUCUCUUGAUUAAGUCACCUACUCAUUCAUUUAAUAAAUACAUACUGAUUGUUUUCU